UCUUUUGAAAGUGCCUAAACACA
This 23-nucleotide non-coding RNA is filed under the name Arabidopsis thaliana (thale cress). Lineage: Eukaryota; Viridiplantae; Streptophyta; Magnoliopsida; Brassicales; Brassicaceae. The record is from RNAcentral.